GACAGAGGCCUCAAGCGUUUAGGCGGAAUCACUGGGCUUAAAGCGUGUGUAGGCGGGUCGUUAAGUACCUUGUGAAAUCCCACGGCUCACCCGUGGAACUGCUGGGUAUACUGGCGAUCUUGGGCCAUUCAGGGGCAACUGGAACAAGCGGUGGAGCGGUGAAAUGCGUAGAUAUCGAGAGGAACACCUGCGGCGAAGGCGGGUUGCUGGGCUGACACUGACGCUGAAGUGCGAAAGCUAGGGGAGCGAACGGG
Molecule: ribosomal RNA, 254 nt
Filed under: uncultured bacterium
Lineage: Bacteria
Description: partial 16S ribosomal RNA
Rfam family: Bacterial small subunit ribosomal RNA
Source: RNAcentral